UACGGAGGGAGCUAGCGUUAUUCGGAAUUACUGGGCGUAAAGCGCACGUAGGCGGCUUUGUAAGUUAGAGGUGAAAGCCUGGAGCUCAACUCCAGAACCGCCUUUAAGACUGCAUCGCUUGAAUCCAGGAGAGGUGAGUGGAAUUCCGAGUGUAGAGGUGAAAUUCGUAGAUAUUCGGAAGAACACCAGUGGCGAAGGCGGCUCACUGGACUGGUAUUGACGCUGAGGUGCGAAAGCGUGGGGAGCAAACAGG
This 253-nucleotide ribosomal RNA is filed under the name uncultured bacterium. RNAcentral's name for it is "partial 16S ribosomal RNA". It matches the Rfam family "Bacterial small subunit ribosomal RNA", at positions 524 to 776 of the family's 1533-position model. The record is from RNAcentral.